AGAUGCGAUCAUACCAGCACUGAAGCACCGGAUCCCAUCAGAACUCCGAAGUUAAGCGUGCUUGGGCGAGAGUAGUACUAGGAUGGGUGACCUCGUGUUGCAUUUC
RNAcentral lists this ribosomal RNA (106 nucleotides) under Hordeum vulgare subsp. vulgare (domesticated barley). The record is from RNAcentral. Lineage: Eukaryota; Viridiplantae; Streptophyta; Magnoliopsida; Poales; Poaceae.